RNAcentral lists this ribosomal RNA (253 nucleotides) under uncultured bacterium. Its description in RNAcentral is "partial 16S ribosomal RNA". It matches the Rfam family "Bacterial small subunit ribosomal RNA", at positions 524 to 776 of the family's 1533-position model. The record is from RNAcentral.
UACGAAGGGGGCGAGCGUUGUUCGGAAUUACUGGGCGUAAAGGGCGCGUAGGCGGCCGUUCAAGUCAGAUGUGAAAGUCCUGGGCUUAACCUGGGGACUGCAUUUGAUACUGAUUGGCUUGAAUUCGGGAGAGGAUAGCGGAAUUCCCAGUGUAGAGGUGAAAUUCGUAGAUAUUGGGAAGAACACCAGUGGCGAAAGCGGCUCACUGGCUCGUAACUGACGCUCAGGCGCGACAGCGUGGGGAUCAAACAGG